Molecule: ribosomal RNA, 367 nt
Filed under: uncultured organism
Description: bacterial SSU rRNA
Rfam family: Bacterial small subunit ribosomal RNA
Source: RNAcentral
CGUAGGUGGCAAGCGUUGUCCGGAUUUAUUGGGUCUAAAGGGUGCGUAGGCGGCCUUAUAAGUCAGUGCUGAAAUAUCCCGGCUUAACCGGGAGGUGGCAUUGAUACUGCAAGGCUUGAGUGUAGUCGAGGUAGGCGGAAUUGACGGUGUAGCGGUGAAAUGCUUAGAUAUCGUCAAGAACACCGAUAGUGUAGACAGCUUACUAGGCUACAACUGACGCUGAGGCACGAAAGUGUGGGGAUCAAACAGGAUUAGAUACCCUGGUAGUCCACACUGUAAACGUUGAUUACUCGAUGUUGGCGAUACACAGUCAGCGUCUUAGCGCAAGCGAUAAGUAAUCCACCUGGGGAGUACGCCGGCAACGGUG